UACAGAGGUCCCAAGCGUUGUUCGGAUUCACUGGGCGUAAAGGGUGCGUAGGUGGCCAGGUAAGUUCGGUGUGAAAGCUCGGAGCUUAACUCCGAAAUGGCAUUGAAUACUAUCUGGCUAGAGGGUCGGAGGGGAGACUGGAAUUCUCGGUGUAGCAGUGAAAUGCGUAGAUAUCGAGAGGAACACCAGUGGCGAAGGCGAGUCUCUGGACGACACCUGACACUGAGGUGCGAAAGCGUAGGGAGCAAACAGG
Molecule: ribosomal RNA, 253 nt
Filed under: uncultured bacterium
Lineage: Bacteria
Description: partial 16S ribosomal RNA
Rfam family: Bacterial small subunit ribosomal RNA
Source: RNAcentral